This 253-nucleotide ribosomal RNA is filed under the name uncultured bacterium. Its description in RNAcentral is "partial 16S ribosomal RNA". It matches the Rfam family "Bacterial small subunit ribosomal RNA", at positions 524 to 776 of the family's 1533-position model. The record is from RNAcentral.
UACGGAGGGGGCUAGCGUUGUUCGGAAUGACUGGGCGUAAAGCGCACGUAGGCGGAUAUUCGAGUCGGGGGUGAAAUCCCGGGGCUCAACCCCGGAACGGCCUUCGAUACUGGAUGUCUUGAGGUCUGGAGAGGUGGGUGGAAUUCCGAGUGUAGAGGUGAAAUUCGUAGAUAUUCGGAGGAACACCAGUGGCGAAGGCGGCCCACUGGCCAGAUACUGACGCUGAGGUGCGAAAGCGUGGGGAGCAAACAGG